GACGAAGGUGCCGUUUGGGCGUUCGGUGUCACGCAAGGACUUGAACACACACAAUGACCUAUUUAACAUAUGAUAACAUAUGUUCACAUACAAUUAGUAUAUUUAAUACUAAUUAAACAAAUAUACGUGCUCAAAGGAGCGGAAAACACUUUGGAUAAGUGUUUGGGUGUCCCGGGUAGCGUCUAAAGGUGUGUAUGGCUAAGGAAUGGAGUUUACUCUCCAAGAGUAAACCCNCUAAUUAAACAAAUAUACGCGCUCAAAGGAGCGGAAAACACUUUGGAUAAGUGUUUGGGUGUCCCGGGUAGCGUCUAAAGGUGUGUAUGGCUAAGGAAUGGAGUUUACUCUCCGAGAGUAAACCCUUAACACUUAGUUUACGGACCAGGGACUACUCACCAUGAGUUUACGGCCGUAAACUCAUGGUGGUGGUAUCUAGUGUGUUUUAAGGCUUCUACUUGUUCAUGGGAUUAUUCUAAGUACUUUUCCAAAAAGGCAUGAGUGGGUUUAAGGCUUCUAAGGGCAUUAUAAUGGAGUUUACGGCCUAGGGACAACUCCUAAGGGAGUUUACCGCCGUAAACUCUCAUCCUUAGAGUUUUGUGAAGUUUAAAGCCCCUAAUACCUUGCUAGUAAUUUAUAAUGAAGUGUGAUGCUAUUUUGGGGGAUUAAAACUAUCAUUUGGAUGUGUUUUGGGGAGUUUACGGCCUAGACACUUGCUUGGGCCGUAAACUCCUUUUUAUCCCUCCAUUUCUUGUGUUUAAGCCCUUGUUUCAAUCCUAGUGUUUUAUGGUAAAUGUCUAAGGCCAUUUGGGGAACAAAAACCACACUUUGGGCCUGAUUUGGAGUGUUUACGGCCUUGGUAUAAACCUGGGACGUAAACUCCUUUUUCCCCUUCAUUUUGAUGAGUUUAAGUGAUCAAAACCCC
Molecule: long non-coding RNA, 919 nt
Filed under: Lactuca sativa (garden lettuce)
Lineage: Eukaryota; Viridiplantae; Streptophyta; Magnoliopsida; Asterales; Asteraceae
Description: long non-coding RNA (LSAT_LNC002099)
Source: RNAcentral